Macadamia integrifolia is the source of this 3265-nucleotide RNA transcript. It is a transcript of the gene named F-box/LRR-repeat protein 2-like, with no coding region annotated. Lineage: Eukaryota; Viridiplantae; Streptophyta; Magnoliopsida; Proteales; Proteaceae. The record is from RefSeq and is a predicted model, not a curated record. The transcript is spliced from 2 exons.
UCCGUCUGAAUGCAAGUAACGGGACAAAUAAAAGAACCCUCCUUUCUUUCCUUCGGUACCAGACGGAGCCUUUAACGGCUACAACUUUCCCAUCUCUCCCGAUAAUUCUCUCUUGCUCCCUCUACUAGAAACCCUAACUCUAACUCUCUCUCGCUUUCUCGCUCUCUCGCUCUGCGUCGUGUAAUGGCGGAUCAAUGGGAAUAUUUGCCGGAAGAGUGCUGGGAAUCGGUGUUCAAUCGCCUCGGACAUAAUCGACACUUGGAAGCCCCAUCUUUAGUCUGCAAACGGUUUCUUUCGAUCUGCAAUCGACUUCGAUCCAGUUUAACAGUAUCUGAUCCUACAGUUCUACUCCACGAAGAUAUUUCUCGUCUUAUUCGAAGAUUUCAUCUGCUAAAGCGUAUAGAUUUCGUCGAAUUUCAUGGCGAUGCGGAUCUGCUUCUCCGGGAGAUCGGGCGCUCUGGAUUGAAUCUAGAAGUCCUCAAUCUCUCGAAGCAGAGGCGUGUUCCUGUGCAAGGUAUGAAGGAGUUGGGAGCCAAGGUGAAGACUUUGAGGGUUCUGAUCUGCUCUAGACAGUGUUCCUUGCAGGACAGUGAUUUGAUUGCAAUCGCUGAUUCGUUCCCGUCACUCCAGGAACUUGAUAUUAGUUAUCCAGAGCAGGAUUUCGGUUCUUUGACUAAGAUAGAUUCUAUAGAGUAUGAAUGUGCAGUCUCAGGUUCAUUUCCAGGUACUGUAUCCGAUGUAGGGAUUGCGAUGUUGUCCUCGAAGUUUCAGAGACUCUGCAGAAUUGAUGUAUCGGGAAAUCAUUUCAUUACGGAUCGGUCUCUUCUUUCUCUUUCAUCCAAGUGUGUCUUUCUGAGAGAAAUUGCGGCUCGUGAUUGCAGCCUUAUUAGUGAAAUUGGCAUUGCUUUGGCGAUACGUCACAAUCCUCAUUUGAUUUCCUUAUCAGUAAAUGGAAGCAAGAUCCCUUCUGCUUUUUCUUCUUCAUCUUUUACUAUCGAAAGCUCUCUUAUUUGUGGGAGAGCGUUGUGCACUCUUGAUUUCUCUCAAAUGAGCAUUUCAGACGAUCUUCUUAGUUCGAUCAUCCAAGCUGGUCUUCCUUUGCUAAACCUUGCAUUAUCCCGCUGCCGAGGAUUCACAUUUGCCGGAUUAUCUUUACUUUUGUGCAAAUACUGUUCUUUAAACUACUUAGACAUAGAAGGAGCAGCUUUCCUGACCGACCAGUCCAUGUUGGAAUUAUCCCAGUAUCUUCAUGAUGUAAAGUUCAUAAACCUUAAUUCUUGCUCCAAUCUUUCAAAUUCAGCCUUCUUCUUGUUGGUGAAAGCGUGUCCUUAUCUGGAGGAAAUCAGGAUGGAGAGAACAAAUCUAGGCAAAGAAGAUUGCCCUUCCGACAUGAACUCCCAACUUCAAAACUUGAAAUUGUCUUGGAACAAGAGUCUAAGCGACAAAACCCUUCAGAAGAUAGCAAUGGUCUGUCCCAACUUAAGAUCACUUGAUAUAAGCCACUGCUGGGGUAUUACAGGAGAAGGAAUUGGGUACAUUGGGAUGAACUGCUGCGAGAUCAAAAUGUUAAAAGUGAAUGGAUGCAGCAGGCUGAGAAACCUCGGAAUGAAUUCUGGGUUUUCAAAAUUGGAAGUUCUUUAUGCUUCAGAAUCAGGAAUCGAUGAUGAUGGACUACGGAUGAUAAGACAUAGUUGUCGUUGGCUUCUGCGUUUGAACUUGGAAGGGUGUCUCGGAGUAACAGCGGAAGGAGUGAAGGAAGUAGUGACGAAUUGCAAAGCCAUAAAAGAGAUUAGCUUGAAGAAGUGUUGCAAUGUUGCUUCUGAUGUCAUACCUUGGAUGGUGAUCACAAGGCCAUCGCUGAGGAAGCUAAUCCCACCAGGUGAGUUUGUUUCCACUAAGAAGCAGAGGGAAUUUUUCUUGAGGCACGGGUGUUGGGUUGUGGACAGUUAGCCCUACUUAGUGGAAACGAUGUUUCCCAGUCUCUUCAUAGACAUCUAAUAAAAAUUGGGUGUAGAGUUUUCUCCUUCCCUAAUUUGUGAAUUUUGAAAGUAUAAUUAUCCAAUGAAUUAUACUUAGAUUGACAUUGUAUUCCAGAAUUUGCACUGCAUUAUUGGUAAAUUCUUGGAUCCUCCCAGUAAAACUUUAUUAAUACUGCCUCUUAAGGGUUCUAUCUAUCAGUCUCACUACAAUGCUGCUAUCAUUUUCCCCCUUAGGCCCCAUUUUUUGUUGGAGGAGUAUAAGGUGUUGAAGGUUGGAGGUAGUUCCCAUGUAUUAUGAGUUGAAAUAUGAAUAAUCAAAAGCAGAGAAAAUCACCAUUCAUCAUUUCAACAUUUCGUUUUGUUAUUUUUUACUAGAGAUAUUCUAGAGAGGGAAAAUGAGGAGGGAAGAACGGGGUAUAAAGAUGAAGAGGGACAGAGCAGAGCGAAGACAAUAGAAGCUCACGAAAGAAGAGAAAGAUUGAUUGAUAUAUAUGUAAAGAGGAAGGGAUCAAUAAGCAAAAUGAUCAGUUUUCCUUUGUUUUGUGAAGAAAGCUUCUCAUUUCCUAUGACAAGAAUCUCAUCUUCUUCAAAUUUUUGGGUUGGUUGCUCUGCAAUGGAGUUCUCCUUUUUGUAAUCUUUCUUUCUUCUUGCUUCUGUCGAGCAGAUUUCACAUUUUCUUUGAUGUUCUUUUAUUGGGCUCUCUCGAACCCAUUGAAUUGAAUAGUAGUUGGAAGGGGUGGUUUUGUUCCUGAUGUCUCUGCCACAACCAAAGAUCUCAUGGGAUGGAGAAGAAAACAAAGAGCCAAAGACCAGCUACAGCUCCGUAAACCGGUUUUCUCCUACAGUCAAGUAAUUGAAGGAGAUUGCGAUGUGUGAAGAUUAAAGGCGGAAGAUACAUCAGAGAAACCCGAUGGUGUGCUUAGGAAGAAAAUCACCUCUCAAGUUGAUCGGUAUGUUGGUCUAACUGAAAAGUAAUGCUUACCCAUCUCAUGGAUUUCUUCUUUUCCUUCUCUCUGCUGGGUGUUCCACAGUCGAGGUUUAGCUACUGUUUUUGUGUGUGUGUGUGUGUGAGAGAGAGAGAGAGAGAGAGAGAGAGCCUUUCAAGCUGCUCAACCACCACCACCUCCCAUUUCAAUCAUCGCCCCCAUCAAAUAACAUUGUGUCAUCUGAAAAAUGUAUUUGAAAUGGUGAAAUUUAGAUAUUUGUACCUUAUCAAAGUAGGUCAAAGUAAGGAACCAUAGCAUAUAUAUUUGAAACAUAUUCCAGUUUAUGAGAUUUUUGAAAAA